RNAcentral lists this transfer RNA (83 nucleotides) under Aspergillus campestris IBT 28561. RNAcentral describes it as "tRNA-Val". It matches the Rfam family "tRNA". From Rfam's summary of the family: Transfer RNA (tRNA) molecules are approximately 80 nucleotides in length. Their secondary structure includes four short double-helical elements and three loops (D, anti-codon, and T loops). Lineage: Eukaryota; Fungi; Ascomycota; Eurotiomycetes; Eurotiales; Aspergillaceae. The record is from RNAcentral.
GACCGACUGGCCCAGUGGUUAAGGCGCUCGUCUUACAAUCUUAUGUUCACGAGAGAUCGCAGGUUCGAACCCUGCGUCGGUCA